Molecule: long non-coding RNA, 1065 nt
Filed under: Homo sapiens (human)
Lineage: Eukaryota; Metazoa; Chordata; Mammalia; Primates; Hominidae
Description: HSALNT0324231
Source: RNAcentral
CAGAGCCUCAAAGAGCACCCAGCAUAACUGUGGGAGAAUAGUAAGCAUUGGACACAAAAUGGUUUAGGCAAAUAAUGAUGAACAAAAAUGGUCAGUCUGUGUUCCUGCUGACCCAGCACAGUGGGGACGCUGUGUAGGACAUGACCUUUGGGGGAAAGGACACAAGAACUCAGCGUGGGGGAUCCAGAAAAGAAGUCGCACGUAUUGAAGCCAGUAACGCCAAGCCAGUGAAUUCUCCUUGACGAGAAAGACCCACUUACUCUGCAGAAGAGAUAUAUGACAGCUGACAAUCCCUGGAGGAGAAUCUUUCUACUAAAUUGUAACUCCAGGUUGAAGAACUUCUACUUAUAGGCAUCUAUUCAACGAAGACGAAUCCUGGAAUGGGGAUGGAAAUGAUGGCUCAUGUCUUAGCAAACUACCAAACUGAUCCGAGAGGACAGGGAAGUCAGUGUGGGCGGCUCUAAGGAGCCUCCCUCUCUACAGCUGCGGCUCAGAGGAUUACGGCGCUUCAUCCACAAGGCAACAUUGCACAAGUAGCUUUUGAACAAAAGUCAUGGAUACUAUUAAUGAUAUGUUCCCACACACAUUUAGUGUCGUCUCAAAAUUCACGCUGUCAACUGUCUCUAGGAAUCAUUUCCAUCUGAGAACAGACCACACAAAGACACAGUGAAACUCAGUUUCUGCAGAAUUUGAUUUCAUUUGAGUUACUGGGGAACAAAGCAAUUAGACAAUGAAUAAUAGCUCAAGACAGGCUGAAGCUGAAGAUUUCUGCAAAAGAAUGAAGAGGAAACGUUUUGAUCCUGAGCAGAUGUUCUCCCUAGAUUGCUUCACCUGAGGUUGAUUGACUUUUGGAAACGAGAUUUGUUCCCAGUGCUUUGUGAGUCUCUUGUUGGAAGGACUGUCUUUAAAUUAAAGCAAUUAGAGUUACUUUAUAAGAUUUACCCAAAUAUAAGAGCUGAAGAGAAUAAUUCAAAUUGAUCAGAAGAAAAUACUCAAUUACUGACAAAUGUCAAUUACAUCAAUAGCCUAGGCUGCUCUUGAACUCCUGGGCUCAAACGAUCCUCC